GGAAUCUUUGGCUGAUUUGAAACAAACAAAUUGUAUGGUUUUUGUAUGAAUUAGCGUGUACUCAAAUUAUGAACUAUGCAACUCCAUAUAACCUAUUUCCGAUUGUGUAGAUCGUCAAAAUAUGUACCAAUUUUGUAUUUUUGUUAUGAGAUAUAUGUAGCAAAUUUCAGAAAACAAACUUCUUACUACUAAUAUCUCAAUGGAGUUGAGCUGAGCAUAGUUCCGAAUUAUGAAGUAAAUCGCCGUGUUUUGCUUGAUCAAUAUGUCUUGGGAGUGGUCAAAAUCUUGGAUGAAUUUGUUUUAGAUGAGACGAAGACUCAACUCCAUCGAGAUAUUCCUUCAUCAAAUCGAAAUCAGAAUUGAUUACAGUGAGCAAUUGGAGAACGUGGGAGAUCAAUGGAUCUGCAAUCUGCAUGUUCCACGGCUAAGGAAAGGGUGGUGGGUUUCUAUCUCUUGGAAGAUGGAAAAACGAAAGUAUAUCCUUAAUUUCGUCUGCAAUAUGUUGCACAACAACACAAAUGCGUUUCAUUGCGGCGGAGGAGCUCUCUGGAUAUCGCUGAGAAUGAGAUUAUUUCGCUCAGUUUCCGAACGGCGUAAGAAAAAUGCCUAAAAUUAGCUAUUAAAGAUGAUGACCAAUGAAGCAAACCUAGAGAUUGUUGUUGACAAGACUUCUGAUAGCAUGUAAGUCAAGAUUGCACAAAUACCAUACACCCAUCUUUUUCUUCGCCAAUCCAAAGAGAUGACAUAGCUCAAUCGUCCAAGGUUUAAAUCUAGCGAUGGGAAGAGAAUCAAAUUUUCGUCCGAAAAGUCCCUUUUUCCCUUAGCCGAAGCCAAUAAUUCCCCCUCUCAAAUAGAAGUGAAUAAAUGUUUAAUUUUUAAUCGAAAAAUUUGGAUAUUACUAUCAUAUCUCCAUCCUAACCUAACAAUUACACCCAAAACCAUGGUUCGUAGCCGAACCUCUUCAUCCGAACCACCUUUACUCUCUUUUGAAAAUCAAAUCCCUAAUAUUUCGUGAUAUUUGUUAUUCAGAUUCUUCUUCUUGUAAUUGUUAAGCUUUACGAUCUAUAAUUUCGAACUCUCUUUAUAACUUACUAUGUACCUUUGUAACAGUUAGAGACUUUCAAAUUAUGUAAUAC
Molecule: small RNA, 1136 nt
Filed under: Arabidopsis thaliana (thale cress)
Lineage: Eukaryota; Viridiplantae; Streptophyta; Magnoliopsida; Brassicales; Brassicaceae
Description: ATSL065330
Source: RNAcentral